GGAAGCCCUGCCUGGGGUUGAAGCGUUAAAACUUAAUCAGGCUAGUUUGUUAGUGGCGUGUCCGUCCGCAGCUGGCAAGCGAAUGUAAAGACUGACUAAGCAUGUAGUACCGAGGACGUAGGAAUUUCGGACGCGGGUUCAACUCCCGCCAGCUCCACCA
RNAcentral lists this transfer-messenger RNA (160 nucleotides) under Aerococcus urinaeequi. RNAcentral's name for it is "partial transfer-messenger RNA". It matches the Rfam family "transfer-messenger RNA", at positions 210 to 374 of the family's 374-position model. Rfam says of the family: Bacterial tmRNA, also known as 10Sa RNA or SsrA, is named for its dual tRNA and mRNA-like properties. The record is from RNAcentral. Lineage: Bacteria; Bacillati; Bacillota; Bacilli; Lactobacillales; Aerococcaceae.